This is a non-coding RNA of Camellia sinensis, 2954 nucleotides long. The record is from RefSeq and is a predicted model, not a curated record. NCBI's taxonomy places the organism in Eukaryota, Viridiplantae, Streptophyta, Magnoliopsida, Ericales, Theaceae.
AACAUGUUUCCAUGCACAUCAAAACAAAGAGAGAAUAUGUUAGGUUCAGACUCUUCAAAGAAAAUGUUUCCAUACAGGCACACAAUAGAAAAUAUGGAAUCAAAACAUAGAACCAUAGAAAAUUUGGACAAACCACAACAAUAAGGAUUUAAUGGAUUUAGAAAAACAAAGCAGGAUAACAUAAAUUAGAACCGAUGGUCCAAAACUUUAGGGCAAAGGUUGAAAACACACAACAAUAAGAUAUAAUUAACACCACUAACUAAAACGAUUGAAACUAACAGCAAAAACAAAUGAGGAUUUAAUGGGUUUAGAAAAACAUGCAGAACAACAUAAAUUAGAACCUAAGGUCCACAACUUUAGGGCAAGGGUUGAAAAUGCACAACAAAGACAAGAAGACAUAAUUAACACCACUAACUAAAACGAUAGAAACUAGUAGCAAAAACAAAUUAGGAUUUAAUUGUAAUGACACCAAAAACCAAUUAGGGUGUACAAAAAUUACAGAAAUUAGGGCAAAUGCUCUUCCAUUGAAAUGCGUUAAAGAAACAGAAAGAGAGGGGCUCACUGGACUGGACACCAAAGAAGAUCAUAGUCAGUGUCAUGGAAAUUGCUGGUUGGUUCAAUGGAUCGCCAAAUGCCGGCUUGUUCAUUUUUUUUUGGGUGUGCCAUAUGGGUUUGAGGAAGAAGAAAAAUAGAAAAAGGCUUUAUUUACUUUUGUUGAUAGAUUCAGAUGAGAAAAAAAAUUGCAAAUUAGGCUCAAAUUUUUAUAUAACUUUAAUUUGAACCCUAAAUUUUUUGGGCCAUUUAAUUUAUGUGAAGUUAGAUUGAGCCCCAUUUUCGACUUACUAAUAUAAUACUAUAAGGGCUUAAAUAAUAUGGGACCCUAUUUUUACUUUCUUCAGGAUCAAACUUGGCAUCUCAUUCUCAAUGCCUAUAUUGUUUAUUUUUCUUCUUUAUUUUUGGGUUAAGUAAUUUUUUUCUAAUUACUAUAGUGAUUUUAAUUGAAAUUUAUGAGGUUCCUAUAAUACUUGUCUGAUUCAGUAACUAUAGCCAAACAGCUCGUGAUGGAACUUCUAAUUUCCCAUUGAUCAACAGAGGGGACUAUGUUGGACCUAAUCAUCAUGUGGCACCAUCUUCAGGGCCACCACAGCGCAAAACAGCCAAGAAGUCGCAUAAGUCAUACAGUGUUCAAGACGGAAACAACCUAGUGCGAGAAGUUGCGAUACAUGGACAAAAAUAUGUUUUACAGCACAUAGUAUAUUAUGUAUCUAUAGUCUAUAUAGGGUUAAUUAUAUUUAGAACCUCUGUAUUUGCACUAAAAUUUCAAUUUAGCCUUUUAUUUUCAAUUAUCCCAGUCAAUUUUUACAAUUUAAGUCAAGUUAAAAUGUCACUCUUUGCUGACAAAAAGUUGGCAGUUUUCAUUGUGGCCUUGGAAAUAUAUUUCAUGUGUGGCACACAUGCCAAUUAUGUUAGUUUCACUAAUACUAAAUGAACAGAAGAGUGAUAUUACAAAUUGAUCUAAGGCGCAAGGGUUGACUCUCGUAAUUGAAAGUAGAGAGAUCAAAAUGAAAUUUUAAUCAACAUGUAAGUUGUUAAGUAUAAUUAACCCUUAUAUAUACACUUGCAUAGAUGUAAAUCCCAACUUCUCACUUGAAAACCUCAAACUACAAUAAUUUGUGCUCCAACAACUUUGAAUGUCAAGUUAUUUAUUUAUUUAUUUAUUUCUUUUUCUUUUUUCAACCCACUAGGUAAUACUUACUAAUACAUACAUGGACAUUUGCAUUGAAUGCGAAGGUAGAAUUUGCAAUUUCAUUAACAACCCUUAUUUUAUAGCACAUUGAUUUUUUCAUUGCUAUCCCAAAUUCUGCAGAUGGAAAAGCAUCGCAAAAAGUUUUCCUCAACGAUCAGAAGAACAAUUGAAGGUCAAGUGUUGACUUGCAACCCUUCCAUACUACAUCAUAGAUUUACCCAAUAGAAAACUAUUUAGACCAUGUUUUUAUGUUAAUUUUUACUUUUUAUAUCAAUAAAUAUUGACCUUGUAAUAUAUACUUUAUUUCCAAUUUUUUUUUUUUUUUUAUUAAUAUAUAUCUAUUCGACUCCUGUAAGUUAUAACCCUGACUACAUUUGCACUGUGCUAGUAGAUUGUAUAGAUUGCAGUAAAUGCCGUUCCAUGUAUAUACUUUUUUUUUCUUUUUUUGUCACCAUGUAUAUCUAUUCAAUUGUUGCUUCUUAGUGUUUUUGCCCAUUGGGAGUUUGCAGCAAAAGUGGAAAGAUGUGAUGGAAAAAGCAGGCACUAAAAUGGACAAGAACAAGAAGAGGCUCCAUAUUUUUGCCGCUGUUGUCCACGUUAAUAUUAAAAAAACAUCCAAGUACAAGCAGAAAUUCCAAAAGUGGUUUGAGGAAAUGGAAAAAGAAGAUCGAGAAAUAAAGGCAUAUGCAGAAGCUUGGUUCCGUAAAGUUAAAAAUGCGCCAAGUUCACCUCUACAGAAUUAAACGAAGCAAGACUAUGUUUGGAUCAAGAAUUUGAAAUUAACAAAAAAUAGUGUCAUGUUGUAGUAUCUGAAGUUUUUUUUUUUUUUUUUAGAUGGGGGUUGUAGUACCUGAAGUUGAAUGCUUGUUGUGUGUUUAAGAAUCUUAAUGUAUCAAUAGUGUGGUUUAAUAUAUUAUGAGUGUGAUUUGAAAGUUCCAAGUGUGAAGUAGUGAUAGUGUUGUUUUGAUUUAGAUACUCUUUAUUAUAUGCAGUUGGAAUGAAGAUCUUUAUUUCAAAAUGUUUCAGAUUAUAACACAUCAUUCAAGAUCCAAAAUCAAAGUCCGUGAUUUUUAUGCCAAUUUUGAAUCUUAAAAGAUAUUUGUCAAUGCAAUUCUUCCACAAACAAACACUGAAUUAUGAAAUAAACAUCUCCAUCCAUCUAUGUAACGGAAAGGCAUAAGCAUUACAACAUUAACAUUGAAAAAGC